GACGAACGCUGGCGGCGUGCCUAACACAUGCAAGUCGAGCGAAUGAAGUUCCUUCGGGAACGGAUUUAGCGGCGGACGGGUGAGUAACACGUGGGCAACCUGCCUCAUAGAGGGGAAUAGCCUUCCGAAAGGGAGAUUAAUACCGCAUAAGAUUGUAGUACCGCAUGGUACAGCAAUUAAAGGAGCAAUCCGCUAUGAGAUGGGCCCGCGGCGCAUUAGCUAGUUGGUGAGGUAACGGCUCACCAAGGCGACGAUGCGUAGCCGACCUGAGAGGGUGAUCGGCCACAUUGGGACUGAGACACGGCCCAGACUCCUACGGGAGGCAGCAGUGGGGAAUUUUGGACAAUGGGCGAAAGCCUGAUCCAGCAAUGCCGCGUGCAGGAUGAAGGCCCUCGGGUUGUAAACUGCUUUUGUACGGAACGAAAAGCCUGAGGCUAAUAUCCUCGGGUCAUGACGGUACCGUAAGAAUAAGCACCGGCUAACUACGUGCCAGCAGCCGCGGUAAUACGUAGGGUGCAAGCGUUAAUCGGAAUUACUGGGCGUAAAGCGUGCGCAGGCGGUUUUGUAAGACAGUGGUGAAAUCCCCGGGCUCAACCUGGGAACUGCCAUUGUGACUGCAAGGCUGGAGUGCGGCAGAGGGGGAUGGAAUUCCGCGUGUAGCAGUGAAAUGCGUAGAUAUGCGGAGGAACACCGAUGGCGAAGGCAAUCCCCUGGGCCUGCACUGACGCUCAUGCACGAAAGCGUGGGGAGCAAACAGGAUUAGAUACCCUGGUAGUCCACGCCCUAAACGAUGUCAACUGGUUGUUGGGAAUUAACUUUCUCAGUAACGAAGCUAACGCGUGAAGUUGACCGCCUGGGGAGUACGGCCGCAAGGUUAAAACUCAAAGGAAUUGACGGGGACCCGCACAAGCGGUGGAUGAUGUGGUUUAAUUCGAUGCAACGCGAAAAACCUUACCCACCUUUGACAUGGCAGGAACUUACCAGAGAUGGUUUGGUGCUCGAAAGAGAACCUGCACACAGGUGCUGCAUGGCUGUCGUCAGCUCGUGUCGUGAGAUGUUGGGUUAAGUCCCGCAACGAGCGCAACCCUUGUCAUUAGUUGCUACAUUUAGUUGAGCACUCUAAUGAGACUGCCGGUGACAAACCGGAGGAAGGUGGGGAUGACGUCAAGUCCUCAUGGCCCUUAUAGGUGGGGCUACACACGUCAUACAAUGGCUGGUACAAAGGGUUGCCAACCCGCGAGGGGGAGCUAAUCCCAUAAAGCCAGUCGUAGUCCGGAUCGCAGUCUGCAACUCGACUGCGUGAAGUCGGAAUCGCUAGUAAUCGUGGAUCAGAAUGUCACGGUGAAUACGUUCCCGGGUCUUGUACACACCGCCCGUCACACCAUGGGAGCGGGUCUCGCCAGAAGUAGGUAGCCUAACCGCAAGGAGGGCGCUUACCACGGCGGGGUUCGUGACUGGGGUG
RNAcentral lists this ribosomal RNA (1462 nucleotides) under uncultured bacterium. RNAcentral describes it as "partial 16S ribosomal RNA". It matches the Rfam family "Bacterial small subunit ribosomal RNA". The record is from RNAcentral.